GAAAUGUUUCUUAAUAUCCAACUUGAGCCUCGCUGGAACAACUUCAGGCCAUUCCUUCUCCCUGUAUCGCUGUAACGUGGGAGAAGAGACCAACCCCCACCUCACUGCAACCUCCUUUCAGGGAGUUGUAGGGAGCAUCCAUCACCUCUUACCAGGGAUAAGAAAGUGCACGAGGUGCAAUUAAUUCCACGUACAGCAGCACUGCUGGAAGAAGUAAUCAUAAACCAGACUUAAGAUGAACAACUUGGAUAGUAAUAUUUUGAAGUCGAGAUAUUUUUUGGACCUGUCAUCUUUGGAUGAAGUUCUGAGCUGCUCUUAUUUCUUACAUUAAUUAUAUUAUGUGUUCUGAAACAAGACUGAAAAUAACAGACUCGACUCAAAGAGCAGAUGGGUACUCUCACAGAUGGCAUGCACAAAAGCAGGAGUCCGGACCACUUCUUCCUCUCUCUAAGCAAAGUGUUCAUUAUGAGAGAAAACCAGAAUCCUCCCUCCCCUGACUGCGGAGUUCUCCUGGAACAGGGACACUUCGACCCUCAGCUCCCUUCUCCUCACUCACCAAAAGAUGCCAGCAAAGAGCUUUGUUUUUACAGCUCAGCCACCAGCUCUGCAUCAGGAACCUUCGUGCUGCAUUCUGGAGAAUGGAUUUUUCUUGGAAGUCCUGCUUUCAGUGCGUUCCCCGGUGGGAUGUGGUGUGGGGACACCCAAGCAGGGCAGCAGCUGGCUGUUGGGCGCAUCGCUGAUGCAUUCUGCACGAGGAGCUGCGAGCAAGCAGAGCAUGGGGAAUCACACCGGUUCGGCUGGAAACGUACAGAAGUGGUGCUGCCAGACUCGUCAUCUCACAGUAAAGGCCAGUCUGAAGUUUGGGUGGUCAAGGAUCUAACUGAUACUUGCUGGGAAAAUAAUGCUGCUGUGGGUCAGGGGCUGGAGGUGGUGCUGCAUUGGGCAGGAUUUGGUAUUUUGCAGAGGAGAUGUGGGAAAUGAGAACAUGUUCAGAGGAUGCAAUGGAGAGCAAUGCAGGUGUUGGAGCAGGGAGCCAUUGCAGCCCCUCGUUCCUGCUCUCCCAUGGAGCUGUGUGUGCUGCAUACCUCCCACUCCGUGUCUGUGCUGUUCAUGCUGGCCCAGUCCCUGCAGUGCCACCUUGAUGUGACAUCCAUGUCCUUCAGCACUGCUCCUGAGCACAGCGGAGAGGAGAGGCAAGAGUUGCAGGUUGCCACAGUAACCCCUGCUCCACCACCUUUUGCUUCUCCACCAGGAAAAUACAUCUGCAGACACCCAGCUCUGCAGACACCCAGCUCCAUGCUCAUGAUUUAUACUGAUCGUGUUUGCACUGGGGCUACUGAACGCUGAGGGCUGGUGUAGAAGACCCCUGCAGGACCAGCUCCAUGCUUCUGAAUCCCCAUUGCUUCCAGAUCUCCUUCAUGCAGCCAAACCACCUCGGGCUGACUGCCUGAAAUAGGGCUGAGUGUCAUUCCCCCUGAACUCAACGAGAGCCUUCUCAUUGAAACAGCAGCUUUCUUUUGGAGAUUUUUUGGAGAAGCAGGCUGAGAGCCAGUAUUCCUUCAGGUAAAUGCUUCUCCUUCCAUCAGUGCACCUGUGGAUUAGCUGUGAGUAAUUUCCUCUUGAAACGUUUUGCAAAGAUAUUCUUUGCACA
Molecule: long non-coding RNA, 1651 nt
Organism: Lagopus leucura (white-tailed ptarmigan)
Lineage: Eukaryota; Metazoa; Chordata; Aves; Galliformes; Phasianidae
Exons: 8
Source: RefSeq, a predicted model, not a curated record